RNAcentral lists this ribosomal RNA (253 nucleotides) under uncultured bacterium. RNAcentral describes it as "partial 16S ribosomal RNA". It matches the Rfam family "Bacterial small subunit ribosomal RNA", at positions 524 to 776 of the family's 1533-position model. The record is from RNAcentral.
UACGUAGGGUGCGAGCGUUGUCCGGAUUUAUUGGGCGUAAAGAGCUCGUAGGCGGUUUGUCGCGUCUGCUGUGAAAACCCGAGGCUCAACCUCGGGCCUGCAGUGGGUACGGGCAGACUAGAGUGCGGUAGGGGAGACUGGAAUUCCUGGUGUAGCGGUGGAAUGCGCAGAUAUCAGGAGGAACACCGAUGGCGAAGGCAGGUCUCUGGGCCGCAACUGACGCUGAGGAGCGAAAGCAUGGGGAGCGAACAGG